AUAUUAUUAAGUGGAGGAAAAGAAACCAAAAGGGAUUCCCCCAGUAGUGGCGAACGAAAAGGGACCUAGCCCAAAGCCGAAUCCCACAACCGAUGGUUGUCGGGACAUGUGGCGUAUGGGAGUCAUCGUUUUCGAAUACCAGUGGCGACUCAAGUGCGCUUGAAUGCUGCCUAUACCUGAGCGGGUGUCAGUCCCGUACGGUCGCUCUGAAUUUGGAAUGAUUUCUCCCGGGAGUCGGGUUGUUUGAAAGUACAGCCCAAAGUGGGUGGURUGCUCCACCUARGGCUAAAURUCCCCGAGAGACCGAUAGCAAAACAGUACCGUGAGGGAAAGUUGAAAAGAACUUUGAAGAGAGAGUUCAAUAKUACGUGAAACCGCUUAGAGGUAAACGGGUGGGCCCUCGAAAUAUAUAGGAAUCCCCUGCUUCAGGGCGAUGGUGUAUUCCAUCGCCUGCAUUGAUACUAUAGAGGCCGCGACCGGUUGGAUCGUGGUGCGGCGCCGAGCUUGAAGUUUGCCAAUUUCGUCGAAAGAUGAUUUUGAUUAAAUGUGCUCGGACGAUCGAUUGUCCGACCGGUUAACGAGAUAGUUUCGAACAAGUUAUCUCAUCCGCGGUCAGUAGGCCGGGUCCCACCCGACCCGUCUUG
Molecule: ribosomal RNA, 644 nt
Filed under: Tyrannochthonius sp. P14
Lineage: Eukaryota; Metazoa; Arthropoda; Arachnida; Pseudoscorpiones; Chthoniidae
Description: partial large subunit ribosomal RNA
Source: RNAcentral